UACGUAGGGAGCAAGCGUUGUCCGGAAUCAUUGGGCGUAAAGCGCGCGUAGGCGGCCCCGUAAGUCCGCUGUGAAAGUCAAAGGCUCAACCUUUGAAAGCCGGUGGAUACUGUGGGGCUAGAGUACGGAAGAGGCGAGUGGAAUUCCUGGUGUAGCGGUGGAAUGCGCAGAUAUCAGGAGGAACACCAAUAGCGAAGGCAGCUCGCUGGGACGUUACUGACGCUGAGGCGCGAAAGCGUGGGGAGCGAACAGG
Molecule: ribosomal RNA, 253 nt
Filed under: uncultured bacterium
Lineage: Bacteria
Description: partial 16S ribosomal RNA
Rfam family: Bacterial small subunit ribosomal RNA
Source: RNAcentral